UACGGGGGGGGCAAGCGUUGUUCGGAAUUACUGGGCGUAAAGGGCUCGUAGGUGGCCAACUAAGUCGGACGUGAAAUCCCUCAGCUUAACUGGGGAACUGCGUCCGAUACUGGAUGGCUCGAGUUUGGGAGAGGGAUGCGGAAUUCCAGGUGUAGCGGUGAAAUGCGUAGAUAUCUGGAGGAACACCGGUGGCGAAGGCGGCAUCCUGGACCAACACUGACACUGAG
Molecule: ribosomal RNA, 227 nt
Filed under: uncultured bacterium
Lineage: Bacteria
Description: partial 16S ribosomal RNA
Rfam family: Bacterial small subunit ribosomal RNA
Source: RNAcentral